Molecule: ribosomal RNA, 643 nt
Filed under: uncultured bacterium
Lineage: Bacteria
Description: bacterial SSU rRNA
Rfam family: Bacterial small subunit ribosomal RNA
Source: RNAcentral
ACCUUCGGGUCUAGCGGCGGCGGGUUAGUACGCGUGGGAACGUGCCCUUCUCUGCGGAAUAGCCACUGGAAACGGUGAGUAAUACCGCAUACGCCCUUCGGGGGAAAGAUUUAUCGGAGAAGGAUCGGCCCGCGUUAGAUUAGAUAGUUGGUGGGGUAACGGCCUACCAAGCCUACGAUCUAUAGCUGGUUUUAGAGGAUGAUCAGCCACACUGGGACUGAGACACGGCCCAGACUCCUACGGGAGGCAGCAGUGGGGAAUCUUAGACAAUGGGCGCAAGCCUGAUCUAGCCAUGCCGCGUGAGUGAUGAAGGCCUUAGGGUCGUAAAGCUCUUUCGCCUGUGAAGAUAAUGACGGUAGCAGGUAAAGAAGUCCCGGCUAACUCCGUGCCAGCAGCCGCGGUAAUACGGAGGGGACUAGCGUUGUUCGGAAUUACUGGGCGUAAAGCGCGCGUAGGCGGACUAGUCAGUCAGAGGUGAAAUCCCAGGGCUCAACCCUGGAACUGCCUUUGAUACUGCUAGUCUUGAGUUCGAGAGAGGUGAGUGGAAUUCCGAGUGUAGAGGUGAAAUUCGUAGAUAUUCGGAAGAACACCAGUGGCGAAGGCGGCUCACUGGCUCGAUACUGACGCUGAGGUGCGAAAGUGU